GACGAACGCUGGCGGCGUGCUUAACACAUGCAAGUCGAACGGUGAAGGGACCGGUUUUUGCUGGUUCUGGAUGAGUGGCGAACGGGUGAGUAACACGUGAGUAACCUGCCCCCUUCUUCUGGAUAACCGCAUGAAAGUGUGGCUAAUACGGGAUAUUCUGCGCCUGCUGCAUGGUGGGUGUGGGAAAGAUAUUGUUUCGGUGGGGGAUGGGCUCGCGGCCUAUCAGCUUGUUGGUGGGGUGAUGGCCUACCAAGGCGGUGACGGGCAGCCGGCCUGAGAGGGUGGACGGUCACACUGGGACUGGGAGACGGCACAGACUCCUACGGGAGGCAGCAGUGGGGAAUAGUGCACAAUGGGCGCAAGCCUGAUGCAGCGACGCCGCGUGAGGGAUGGAGGCCUUCGGGUUGUAAACCUCUUUCGCCAGUGAAGCAGGCCUGUCCCUUUUGUGGGUGGGUUGACGGUAGCUGGAUAAGAAGCGCCGGCUAACUACGUG
This 493-nucleotide ribosomal RNA is filed under the name uncultured bacterium. Its description in RNAcentral is "partial 16S ribosomal RNA". It matches the Rfam family "Bacterial small subunit ribosomal RNA", at positions 28 to 507 of the family's 1533-position model. The record is from RNAcentral.